Molecule: ribosomal RNA, 253 nt
Filed under: uncultured bacterium
Lineage: Bacteria
Description: partial 16S ribosomal RNA
Rfam family: Bacterial small subunit ribosomal RNA
Source: RNAcentral
UACGUGAGGGGCGAACGUUGUUCGGUGUCACUGGGCUUAAAGGGUGCGUAGGUGGUUGCGUAAGUAACGUGUGAAAUCCCUCGGCUUACCCGGGGAAUUGCGCGUUAUACUGCGUGACUUGAGGAUUUCAGGGGAAUGGGGAACUCCAGGUGUAGCGGUGAAAUGCGCAGAUAUCUGGGGGAAGGCCGGCGGCGAAGGCGCCAUUCUGGGAAAUUCCUGACACUGAGGCACGAAGGCGUGGGGAGCAAACAGG